RNAcentral lists this long non-coding RNA (761 nucleotides) under Homo sapiens (human). RNAcentral's name for it is "non-protein coding lnc-CADM1-6:1". The record is from RNAcentral. Lineage: Eukaryota; Metazoa; Chordata; Mammalia; Primates; Hominidae.
GCAGGUCAGGGUACAGUAUCUGACUGCAAUCAAUAUGCACUUAAAUGUUUGGAUCAUCUAAACCUCCACUUAGCACAAAGGAUCUCCAGAGAGAACUUUCUUCAGAGCAGAGAAAUUACUAUUCCAGAGCUCUGGAGGAGGAGCCUGAAGAUGGAGAGCAAAGGACAGGAAUGAAUGUGAGUCCUCUAGAGACAGUAACCCCAACCCAUUUGGAACAGGAACUCAAGACACAGAAAGGCCAAGUAAUUUGUCCAACUUCAUAUGCUAGACUGGAAGAAGGAGCCCAGCCUCAAGUCAGGAAAAGGAGGAAAGAGAACACCUGACAUUUGCCACUGAGGUGGAAUAAAGGAAUCGUCUUCGUCUUUACAGUUUUAGAAAUGAAGAAAUGAAUCUUAGAGAGCUUAAAGUGAGUCGUCCAAAGAAGCACAACUAGUAAUUGGAAGAUCGGUUAUGUCAACUAAGGCCUAUCUGACCUCAGAGUCCACUGCCUCAGACACACAAUGUCAUAAUGAAUGCUACUCCAUGGAGGAAAUUAUGUGGAUAAAGAGAAAUGAUCUGGCUAAGCAUGUUUUGAACGGUUAUAAAUUCAUAUUCACAUAUGUUGUGAUAUAUGCACAUACGUAUAUAUAAAUGUAGAUAUACGAGAUAUAUAUGGAUAUAUGGAUAUAUAGAUAGACCCCCAUUUAGCACUGUCCCAUGCAACCCAGAUUAGUUCUAACAUUAUUUAGUUCUAAAUCAAUUUCUUGAUACCAGUGGUUUUU